AAGAACCUCAGCAGCAAGGUACUCCAGAACAGCAGCUAGAUAAACCGGAGCUCCGGCACCGACACGUUCAGCAUACUUCCCGGCUUUCAAAAACCGAGCAAUACGACCAACCGGAAACUGAAGACCAGCUUUGCUACUACGAGAAGUAGCCUUUUUUGCUGUUCCUGAACCUAGGGUUUUGCCUCUACCAGCCAUUUAUGGAAGAAAUUUGCUAUAAAAAUGGAGAAAAUUUUUGUAGGUUCAAAUUUUGAGAGCAAA
RNAcentral lists this unclassified non-coding RNA (258 nucleotides) under Hevea brasiliensis (rubber tree). The record is from RNAcentral. Lineage: Eukaryota; Viridiplantae; Streptophyta; Magnoliopsida; Malpighiales; Euphorbiaceae.